Molecule: ribosomal RNA, 218 nt
Filed under: uncultured Pseudomonas sp.
Lineage: Bacteria; Pseudomonadati; Pseudomonadota; Gammaproteobacteria; Pseudomonadales; Pseudomonadaceae
Description: partial 16S ribosomal RNA
Rfam family: Bacterial small subunit ribosomal RNA
Source: RNAcentral
GGGGACGAACGUUACGAAAGGAACGCUAAUGCCGCAUACGUACCCUACGGGAGAAAGCAGGGGACCUUCGGGCCUUGCGCUAUCAGAUGAGCCUAGGUCGGAUUAGCUAGUUGGUGAGGUAAUGGCUCACCAAGGCGACGAUCCGUAACUGGUCUGAGAGGAUGAUCAGUCACACUGGAACUGAGACACGGUCCAGACUCCUACGGGAGGCAGCAGUC